Molecule: ribosomal RNA, 429 nt
Filed under: uncultured bacterium
Lineage: Bacteria
Description: bacterial SSU rRNA
Rfam family: Bacterial small subunit ribosomal RNA
Source: RNAcentral
UGGGGAAUUUUGCGCAAUGGGGGAAACCCUGACGCAGCAACGCCGCGUGAGUGAUGAAGGCCUUCGGGUCGUAAAGCUCUGUCAGAGGGGAAGAAAUGCAGUGGUGCUAAUAUCAUCAUUGUUUGACGGUACCCUCAAAGGAAGCACCGGCUAACUCCGUGCCAGCAGCCGCGGUAAUACGGAGGGUGCGAGCGUUGUUCGGAAUUAUUGGGCGUAAAGCGCGUGUAGGCGGUCUGGUAAGUCUGAUGUGAAAGCCCCGGGCUCAACCUGGGAAGUGCAUUGGAAACUGUCAGACUUGAAUACGGGAGAGGGUAGUGGAAUUCCUAGUGUAGGAGUGAAAUCCGUAGAUAUUAGGAGGAACACCGGUGGCGAAGGCGGCUACCUGGACCGAUAUUGACGCUGAGACGCGAAAGCGUGGGGAGCAAACAG